GCGGUGGGUGGGCCUGGGCAUGAAUGCAGCAGGGGUUCGUGUGGCAGAGCGGGGAGGGCUGCGUCCCUGAUUGUUAACACGGAAAGGAGAUGGGAGAAGGAAGCAGAGGCGUGUCCCUGUUCAACAUGUUCAAAGUACCCUCUGGCUGUUUGAAUCCAUGAUGUGCAAUCAGAACAAUUAACUUCUCUACCACCUCUGUCCUGCGCUGCCUCGGGUCCCUUUCUGUGGAUUGCUCUUUCCCCUCGUUGUAAAGUACCACUUCUUCCUACUUCUUUGGCAGGUGGAGGGAAGGUACGUGGGAACCGUCUGAUCCUUCGGGUUGCAGCUUCCGGGCUUUGAUUGGGCUUCCUGCGUCAGCACUGAGAGUGGGCUUGGUAUUUCCCCAGUGCUCCAUGGGAUGGGACAGACUCCCACGGCUCUCCUUGUUCCCAGGGGUCCUGUCUGACCUGACGCUGCGGGAGUUGGGCCCAGGACUGGUGAAGCCCUCGCAGACCCUCUCCCUCACCUGCACUGUCUCCGGGGACCCUGUCACCAGCAGUUACUACUGGAAUCGGAUCCGUCAGCGUCCUGAGAAAGGCCCAAGACUGAACCAUCUGGACGGGGAGAGGGCACCUGUGCAGAAGACACGAGGAAGGUGGGGGCCCCAGAGCUGUCUCAACUUCCUCCUCAGACCUGGAUCCUGGGGCUCCUUCCCUGGUGCAGCUGCCAGCUAGACAAUUAGCCCCAUCUCUCUCCAUGGCCAGUGAGAUUUGACUCAGUGCUUUCUGUGUGAAUGAAACUUGCUAAUUUGUCAGAAGACAGCAUCAGCUCUUCACUCUGUGGGAUCCUUGGAUCUGUGCAGGAGUUGGGCUACUUAAUGCCCCUUCUCUAGAUUGCAUACGAAUAACCUAAUGCCCUCGAGGAUAAAA
Non-coding RNA from Equus caballus (horse), 908 nucleotides. The record is from RefSeq and is a predicted model, not a curated record. Lineage: Eukaryota; Metazoa; Chordata; Mammalia; Perissodactyla; Equidae.